RNAcentral lists this ribosomal RNA (633 nucleotides) under Triticum aestivum (bread wheat). Its description in RNAcentral is "partial small subunit ribosomal RNA". The record is from RNAcentral. Lineage: Eukaryota; Viridiplantae; Streptophyta; Magnoliopsida; Poales; Poaceae.
AUGAACCGGCAAUGGAUGUACGGUGACAGACACACCUCUGAGUACAUUAAGGGCGUGCAUGAUUUUCUCGAAGUGGCUGAGGCAAACAAGCAGAAUGGUUUUAUGUGUUGUCCAUGCCCUACAUGUGGGAAUACGAAGUCUUACUCUGACCGGAAAAUCCUUCAUGCCCACCUGCUUUACAAGGGUUUCAUGCCACACUAUAAUGUUUGGACGAGGCACGGAGAAAUGGGGGUUAUGAUGGAAGACGGCGAAGAAGAAGAGGACGAUGACAACUAUGUGCCCCCUGAAUACGGUGAUGCUGCAACGGGGGAAGCUGCUGAAGAUCAAGAGGAACCAGACGAUGUGCCCAAUGAUGCUGCAAGGGGGGAAGCUGCUGAAGAUGAAGAGGAACCAGUGCCCGAUAAUGAUGAUCUCCGCCGGGUCAUUGUCGAUGCAAGGACGCAAUGCGAAAGUCAAAAGGAGAAGCUGAAGUUCGAUCGCAUGUUAGAGGAUCACAAAAAAGGGUUGUACCCCAAUUGCGAAGAUGGCAACACAAAGCUCGGUACCGUACUGGAAUUGCUGCAAUGGAAGGCAGAGAAUGCUGUGCCUGACAAAGGAUUUGAGAAGCUAUUGAAAAUAUUGAAGAAGAAGCUU